GAUGAACGCUGGCGGCGUGCCUAAUACAUGCAAGUCGAGCGAACGGACGAGAAGCUUGCUUCUCUGAUGUUAGCGGCGGACGGGUGAGUAACACGUGGAUAACCUACCUAUAAGACUGGGAUAACUUCGGGAAACCGGAGCUAAUACCGGAUAAUAUUUUGAACCGCAUGGUUCAAAAGUGAAAGACGGUCUUGCUGUCACUUAUAGAUGGAUCCGCGCUGCAUUAGCUAGUUGGUAAGGUAACGGCUUACCAAGGCAACGAUGCAUAGCCGACCUGAGAGGGUGAUCGGCCACACUGGAACUGAGACCCGGUCCAGACUCCUACGGGAGGCAGCAGUAGGGAAUCUUCCGCAAUGGGCGGAAGCCUGACGGAGCAACGCCGCGUGAGUGAUGAAGGUCUUCGGAUCGUAAAACUCUGUUAUUAGGGAAGAACAUAUGUGUAAGUAACUGUGCACAUCUUGACGGUACCUAAUCAGAAAGCCACGGCUAACUACGUG
RNAcentral lists this ribosomal RNA (497 nucleotides) under uncultured bacterium. Its description in RNAcentral is "partial 16S ribosomal RNA". It matches the Rfam family "Bacterial small subunit ribosomal RNA", at positions 28 to 507 of the family's 1533-position model. The record is from RNAcentral.